GUGGGGAAUCUUAGACAAUGGGCGCAAGCCUGAUCUAGCCAUGCCGCGUGAGCGAUGAAGGCCUUAGGGUUGUAAAGCUCUUUCAGUGGGGAAGAUAAUGACUGUACCCACAGAAGAAGCCCCGGCUAACUCCGUGCCAGCAGCCGCGGUAAUACGGAGGGGGCUAGCGUUGUUCGGAAUUACUGGGCGUAAAGCGCACGUAGGCGGACUGGAAAGUCAGGGGUGAAAUCCCGGGGCUCAACCCCGGAACUGCCUUUGAAACUCCCAGUCUUGAGGUCGAGAGAGGUGAGUGGAAUUCCGAGUGUAGAGGUGAAAUUCGUAGAUAUUCGGAGGAACACCAGUGGCGAAGGCGGCUCACUGGCUCGAUACUGACGCUGAGGUGCGAAAGCGUGGGGAGCAAACAGGAUUAGAAACCCCAGUAGUCC
RNAcentral lists this ribosomal RNA (425 nucleotides) under uncultured bacterium. Its description in RNAcentral is "bacterial SSU rRNA". It matches the Rfam family "Bacterial small subunit ribosomal RNA", at positions 354 to 796 of the family's 1533-position model. The record is from RNAcentral.